Molecule: unclassified non-coding RNA, 289 nt
Filed under: Hypocreales sp.
Lineage: Eukaryota; Fungi; Ascomycota; Sordariomycetes; Hypocreales
Description: partial contains 5.8S ribosomal RNA, internal transcribed spacer 2, and large subunit ribosomal RNA
Rfam family: 5.8S ribosomal RNA (bases 1-71)
Source: RNAcentral
GUGAGUCAUCGAAUCUUUGAACGCACAUUGCGCCCGCCAGUAUUCUGGCGGGCAUGCCUGUCUGAGCGUCAUUUCAACCCUCAAGCAACUUCUGCUUGGUGUUGGGGAUCGGCCGUUAAACGCCGCCCCCGAAAUCUAUUGGCGAUCUCGCUGUAGCUUCCUAUGCGUAGUAGUAACAUCUCGCAUCUGGAGAGCGGCGCGGUCAUGCCGUAAAACACCCAACUUCUCAGGUUGACCUCAGAUCAGGUAGGAAUACCCGCUGAACUUAAGCAUAUCAAUAAGCGGAGGA